AGCCACAGUGUCUCUGUCAGGAUGGGUGAGUUCUGGAGUGAGAGAUGUAUAGACAGCCCUGCCAGAUGGAGAAGUCUGGGUGGAGGAAACUCAGGGACAGGAGACUUCUCCCAGAUCUGAUCAUCGUAAUUUCCCCCCACCCUGAGACAGGAUGCCACUGUGUAGCCCAGUGUAGUGAACACUUGGAAUACAAAAUAAAGAUGGUGGAAUGAGACAUUCCGUCUCCAGUUCCUAACAUCAGAAGUGAGCACCUGUGUGUCACCAGCAACAUAUUGGAGGCCAGCUGCCUACACCAAUCAGAAACAGGGACCACAAAGUCUGCAGGGGUGAGAUAGGCCUUUUCAGUGUCUACGAUUUCAUCAUGGACAUUACUGUCGAUUUCUCUUCCUGCCCCUGUAUGUGCGGGUCUAUCGCCAUCUCGCCAUCUCCGGCUCCUGUGUUAUGAAGACAGUCUCAUGCAGCCCAGACCAAUCUCAAAUUGACUAGGUAAACUGAGGCUGGCCUUGAACCAGUCCCUCCUGCCUCUAUCUCCUGAGAGCUGGGUAACAGCUUCUGGAGCCUCACCCAGCUUCGCUUUCACCACCCCAGCCAAUCCUGUGACUCCUCUUCAUAGCGAGAGCAUUGACACUUAUGUUCUGAGUGUGAAAAAAAAAAAAAAAUCACAUAGUACUUCCUACUAGAACCUUGCCCGGGUCAACUGAAGUGUGUGUGUUUGCUUACCAGUCUGCAGGUUUGCUUAAGUUUGUUUAUUUUAGAGACCAGGUCUUGCUCUGUUGCCUAAGCCAACUUGAAACUCUUGGGCUCCAACAGUUCUCCUGCUCCAUCUUUCUAGAGCAGCUGGGACUCUAGGCAUGCUCCACUACAGCUGACUGAAGCUUGAAUGAAUGAAUGAAUGAAUGAAUGAGUUACUACCUCUGAGGGACCCUCCUCAUGGCCUUCUCAACUCUGUACUUUAAUUAGUUGCUUAGAGGUGUCUCCAUGCCUCAGUUUCCCCAUCUGUAAUAGUAAACGAGUUCACAGGCGUGGUCUGUGCUUGGAGCAAGAACAAAACCAUCCUGGCCUAUACUCUCUAGGGACUCUACAGAGCCCAUCCCUUUGGCUAUCAGACUGUUGAGAUAAAGGUUCCCCCAGGAAUCGGAAUCCCCUCCGACAGGAGUCUCAUGCUCAGAGAAGAAAAAAAGCUGAAGCCUGCUGACAGCCAGAGAGGGUACUUGUCUGUCAGGGAAAAAUUCUACACAGGACAGACUGGAGCCCAGACUGGUCUGGGUCAGUGACACACGGCACAGCACACGGUGGGACAACCUGGCUGUGCAUCUCUCUCAAACCUCAACCUCAGUCUGAAGAUGGAUUGGGGGGGGGGGUCCCUGGACCUCAUUACUUGUCACCCUUCUCACUGUGGCCACAGCGAAGCGAAUACAUCUCUCUGCUUUUCA
RNAcentral lists this long non-coding RNA (1433 nucleotides) under Mus musculus (house mouse). RNAcentral describes it as "tumor protein p53 pathway corepressor 1". Lineage: Eukaryota; Metazoa; Chordata; Mammalia; Rodentia; Muridae. The record is from RNAcentral.